AGCAUGAAAUCUAUAAUAUGUAGAUUUUGAUGGCGACCGGCGUACGGGUGCGUAACACGUACGUAACCUACCUUUUGCUAGAAAAUAGCCUGAGGAAACUCGGAUUAAUAUUCUAUAAUAUAGAUAAAAUCGCAUGAUUUUACUAUUAAAGCAGAAAUGCGGCAAAAGAUGGGCGUGCGCCCGAUUAGUUAGUUGGUAAGGUAAAAGCUUACCAAGACAAUGAUCGGUAGGGGGCCUGAGAGGGUGAUCCCCCACACUGGUACUGAGAUACGGACCAGACUCCUACGGGAGGCAGCAGUGAGGAAUAUUGGUCAAUGGAGGAAACUCUGAACCAGCCACGCCGCGUGCAGGAAGAAUGCCUUACGGGUUGUAAACUGCUUUUGUUUAGGAAUAAAAAUUCUUACGUGAUAAGAAUUAUGAAUGUACUAUACGAAUAAGUGUCGGCAAACUCCGUGCCAGCAGCCGCGGUAAUACGGAGGACACAAGCGUUAUCCGGAUUUAUUGGGUUUAAAGGGUGCGUAGGCGGUUUAUUAAGUCAGUAGUGAAAUGUUGCAGCUCAACUGUUAAAAUUGCUAUUGAUACUGGUAGACUUGAGUGAGAUUGGAGUAGCUGGAAUGUGUGGUGUAGCGGUGAAAUGCAUAGAUAUCACACAGAACACCGAUCGCGAAAGCAGGUUACUAAAUCUAUACUGACGCUGAGGCACGAAAGCGUGGGGAGCAAACAGGAUUAGAUACCCUGGUAGUCCAC
Molecule: ribosomal RNA, 747 nt
Filed under: Blattabacterium sp. (Blattella sp.)
Lineage: Bacteria; Pseudomonadati; Bacteroidota; Flavobacteriia; Flavobacteriales; Blattabacteriaceae
Description: bacterial SSU rRNA
Rfam family: Bacterial small subunit ribosomal RNA
Source: RNAcentral